AUUGAACGCUGGCGGCAGGCCUAACACAUGCAAGUCGAACGUGUGGCGGACAGGUGAGUAAUGUCUGGGAAACUGCCCGUUGGAGGAGGCUAACUACUGGAAACGGUAGAUAAUACCGAAUACAAUCGGAAGUGCGCAGAUGGGAUUAGCGUGUAGGUUGGGUACAGGCUCACCAAGGCGACGAGCCCUAGCUGGUCUGAGAAGAUGACCAGCCAAAAUGGAACGGUGACACGGUCAAGACGCCUAAGGGAGGAAGGAGUGGGGAAUAUUGCACAAUGGGCGCAAGGAUGAGUCAGCGAUGCCGCGUGUAUGAAGAAUGCCUUCGGAUUGGAAAGUACUUUCAGCGGGGAGGAGUGACGCGCAGAAGAAGCACCGGCUAACUCAGUGCCAGGAGCCGCGGUAAUUC
Molecule: ribosomal RNA, 406 nt
Filed under: uncultured bacterium
Lineage: Bacteria
Description: partial 16S ribosomal RNA
Rfam family: Bacterial small subunit ribosomal RNA
Source: RNAcentral